Takifugu rubripes (torafugu) is the source of this 1704-nucleotide long non-coding RNA. NCBI's taxonomy places the organism in Eukaryota, Metazoa, Chordata, Actinopteri, Tetraodontiformes, Tetraodontidae. The record is from Ensembl.
AUGGAUCUGUUCAUGACUGUUAGAGUGUGUGUGGUCAUGGCAGUGGCUUUUUGUUGUUUCUGCUUCAGGCUGCAGAAGAUGGGCUGUUCCUGUAGCACUUCUUCUGACGAGUGGAGCGACAGCGAUAGUGACAGCAGUCUGUCAGAACUCCCACCCUUCGUUAGACGGAGCACGAAGACGGUGGAGCUGAGGCAGCACACCUCCGCAGUAACCCAGCAUGCAUGCUUGGAUGAGGAGGUUAAAGGAGACGGCAGUGGCACAUGUGAGGAACCCCUGGAAUCACAUCCCCGUGUGGCGCUGCCCAGACUGAGCACAGGCGGAGAGGAAAACACUCUCGAUGGGUCAAAGCCGUCCAAACCGGUCCAGUGUGCAACAGAUGAGCCUGGUCCAUCCACGGUUCUGAAAAACAGUUUAUUACCACCUCCUCCUGAACCAGAAACUGGUUUAUUACCACCACCUCCUGAACCAGAAACCGGUUUAUUACCACCACCUCUUGAACCAGACACUGGUUUAUUACCACCACCUCCUGAACCAGAAACUGGUUUAUUACCACCACCUCCUGAACCAGACACUGGUUUAUUACCACCACCUCCUGAACCAGAAGCUGGUUUAUUACCACCACCUCCUGAAACAGAAACCAGUUUAUUACCACCUCCUCUUGAACCAGACACUGGUUUAUUACCACCACUUCCUGAACCAGAAACUGGUUUAUUACCACCACCUCCUGAACUGUCUCUAUUGAGCGAGGUCAAUGUGCGUCUGACCACGGGAUCCUCGCCACAUAUCGUUCAACAAACUCACCGUGGAUUCACCAAAUCCGAGAUCGACUGGCAGGACAAUGCGGCGCUCCAACGUCCGUGGCUUCCUGUGAAUUCCCGCGUAAGGAAAAUCCCAAGCCGAGAAGAGGGCGAUGGUCCCUCAGUCUCAAUUUGCUUUUAUAAAACACUCGAAGACCUGGGCCCCCCGAGACCUGAGUGUCAGGAUGUUGGCACUCAAACUUUGCCCCCUGGUGCUGGUGGAGAUGCUCCUACUCCAUCUUCCAAGAUUGACUCCGUCUGUCCUGAGCGGCGGGUGAUGGCUGAAGGGGGCAACAGCGGGGACAAGCCGAAGGCAACGGUGUGGUCCCAGGGCACACCCCAGGCUGGGUUCCCCCAGAUGGGGGGCGGUGUGGACACCCCAGGGCCAGUGUCGGAGCUCCAGCCCUCCAAGGCUCAGAAUUGUGGGCCAAUGUUGAAUCGGGGUCUGGAGCAGAGUUCAAAGACCAAGGCUGACCACCAACCAGCUCAUCCGCCAGGACAGCAAGUGGGCUCCAAACUAACGUACGCACAGGUCUUGAUGAUGCCCCCACGGAAGCGUGCCCCACCCCCGGACCUUAGCCCCCCCUACCCAGAACAAGAGCCCCAACCAGCUGGGACUCGCCGUCCACUAAAGCUGAGAUAUGCAAGGCUAUGAAUGGAUCGCUAUGGAUAUUUGGUUUUCAGUCUUUACAAAAGAAGCUGAACAAAAUCAACUCUUCAAUUGCUGCUUUAGGGGAUUUUUUUCUUUAGUUUGUUUAGGGUCUUUUUAAAAAAAAUCCAGGUUCUGUUCCCAUGUUUGAAUGUUCCAGUGUUUUUCUUUUAACACACAUACAUAAUUGAUGCUCAUAAUUCUGAUUUCUUCUAUUAAAAAGCACUGAGCAAUAUGUCUGUUUGCAUCUUUUUUAUC